This 424-nucleotide ribosomal RNA is filed under the name uncultured bacterium. RNAcentral describes it as "bacterial SSU rRNA". It matches the Rfam family "Bacterial small subunit ribosomal RNA", at positions 356 to 773 of the family's 1533-position model. The record is from RNAcentral.
AGGGAAUCUUCCGCAAUGGACGAAAGUCUGACGGAGCAACGCCGCGUGAGUGAUGAAGGUUUUCGGAUCGUAAAGCUCUGUUGCCAGGGAAGAACGUCCUUAAGAGUAACUGCUUAAGGAGUGACGGUACCUGAGAAGAAAGCCCCGGCUAACUACGUGCCAGCAGCCGCGGUAAUACGUAGGGGGCAAGCGUUGUCCGGAAUUAUUGGGCGUAAAGCGCGCGCAGGCGGCUGUUUAAGUCUGGUGUUUAAUCCUGGGGCUCAACCCCGGGUCGCACUGGAAACUGGGCAGCUUGAGUGCAGAAGAGGAGAGUGGAAUUCCACGUGUAGCGGUGAAAUGCGUAGAGAUGUGGAGGAACACCAGUGGCGAAGGCGACUCUCUGGGCUGUAACUGACGCUGAGGCGCGAAAGCGUGGGGAGCAAAC